Molecule: long non-coding RNA, 1223 nt
Organism: Glycine soja
Lineage: Eukaryota; Viridiplantae; Streptophyta; Magnoliopsida; Fabales; Fabaceae
Exons: 3
Source: RefSeq, a predicted model, not a curated record
AUCAAUUUUAUAUACUGUUGUGACUUGUGCGCUUAUCCUUCAUAUGCACUUUUGGUGCAUCUCAAUACUUUUUUCCUGCUGAGAUCCUUGAUUAGGAGAGUUUCUACUUUCACUGUUUGUCUAGACUCUAGAGUCUAAAGAAAUAUGAAAGUCCCCGUCCCUGCAAAGAUGCUAUGAUUUGAAUUUUAACAUCAAUGGGUAUCAUCAUUCAAUUGUUGUUGUUGUUGUUUUUUUUCUUUUCAGAGAAAGAUGGUUCAGUGAUGCAUGGACUGGAGGGAGGGAAUCGUAAAUGGCACUCUUCAAUCCUUAUUUUGUUACCUUAAAUAAAUGAAUCACUAAAUGUUAGAUGCUAGUCACAGUAGUGUACCUUCUAUCAUAUUUGUAUUUCUUUGUAUUGUGGAAUAACUUUGACGUGCAUGUGCCUAAAGUAAUUGGUUAUAUCUCAGUGAAUUGAAACAUUCAGAGUAAUACAGAUAUUUUCCUUCUGUAUACUUAUAUGGUUAUUUGCUUUCACUAGGAUGUUUUGCAGCUUUCUUAUUUUUUCUUGGAUCUCCUUGAUUUGGAUGAGGAGGCUGGCAUGAUCCAGAAGUCAACUAACCAAACUGAUCAAAUGAGAAUGCUGAGGAACAAGCUAGUGAAUGAAAAUGCUGGUGCAUGUAUACUUAAUUGCUGAAAAUUUGGAUGCAGGGUGCCGGAAAGAAAAGAGGUAGAAGUACAGGAGGAAAACCACAAGCAAAGAUAGCAAAGAAAAAAACUCCAGGUUCCAAAAAGGCAAAGAUCAAGAAAUGAUUCAAAGAAACUCUAUGUAAUUUCUUGUAUAUGCCAUGAACCAAUAAAACUCAAUCCUUGGUUUAAAUGCAAUUUGGAGCAUAAUCUCCCUGAUAGCCCUUUUGCUUCCCCAACAAAAGUUGUUGUUCCUGGAGACUUCAUGGCUCCCUUCUCCAAUGGACCUAAUGUGACCAUUGAUGCAAAUGCCUUAUACAGAUUACAUGAAGCCUGAUACCGAGACAUACAAUUGGGUUAUUCAAGCUUAUACUAGAGUUGAAUCUUAUGCCAGAUUUCAUGAAGCCAGCUCAUGAUCAGUACAUUAACCGCCACGCCAAUGGCUUGUGUGUGAUUGGGUUGACUCCUUCCCACAUUGCUUUCAAGGAUGAAGGUGGAAUCACAGCCGUUGAUUUCAAUGUUGGAAAGUCUGAUUGCAGCGGGAUAAAAGUCAUUGGAAA